GAUGAAGAACGUAGCGAAAUGCGAUAAGUAAUGUGAAUUGCAGAAUUCAGUGAAUCAUCGAAUCUUUGAACGCACAUUGCGCCCACCAGUAUUCUGGCGGGCAUGCCUGUUCGAGCGUCAUUUCAACCCUCAAGCCCAGCUUGGUGUUGGGGAUCGGCACAGGCGCCCUCGGGCGCCAGCCGUCCCCUAAAUCUAGUGGCGGUCCCGCUGCAGCCUCCUCUGCGUAGUAGUUUUCUCCUCGCAAGGGCAGCUCGGUGGCGACCUCGCCGUAAAACCCCCAACUUCUGAAAGGUUGACCUCGAAUCAGGUAGGAAUACCCGCUGAACUUAAGCAUAUCAAUAAGCGGAGGA
This 350-nucleotide unclassified non-coding RNA is filed under the name soil metagenome. Its description in RNAcentral is "partial contains 5.8S ribosomal RNA, internal transcribed spacer 2, and large subunit ribosomal RNA". The stretch from base 1 to 120 matches the Rfam family "5.8S ribosomal RNA", at positions 35 to 154 of the family's 154-position model. The record is from RNAcentral.